RNAcentral lists this ribosomal RNA (465 nucleotides) under uncultured Klebsiella sp. Its description in RNAcentral is "bacterial SSU rRNA". It matches the Rfam family "Bacterial small subunit ribosomal RNA", at positions 338 to 795 of the family's 1533-position model. The record is from RNAcentral. Lineage: Bacteria; Pseudomonadati; Pseudomonadota; Gammaproteobacteria; Enterobacterales; Enterobacteriaceae.
CCUACGGGAGGCAGCAGUGGGGAAUAUUGCACAAUGGGCGCAAGCCUGAUGCAGCCAUGCCGCGUGUGUGAAGAAGGCCUUCGGGUUGUAAAGCACUUUCAGCGGGGAGGAAGGCGGUGAGGUUAAUAACCUCAUCGAUUGACGUUACCCGCAGAAGAAGCACCGGCUAACUCCGUGCCAGCAGCCGCGGUAAUACGGAGGGUGCAAGCGUUAAUCGGAAUUACUGGGCGUAAAGCGCACGCAGGCGGUCUGUCAAGUCGGAUGUGAAAUCCCCGGGCUCAACCUGGGAACUGCAUUCGAAACUGGCAGGCUAGAGUCUUGUAGAGGAGGGUAGAAUUCCAGGUGUAGCGGUGAAAUGCGUAGAGAUCUGGAGGAAUACCGGUGGCGAAGGCGGCCCCCUGGACAAAGACUGACGCUCAGGUGCGAAAGCGUGGGGAGCAAACAGGAUUAGAUACCCCGGUAGUC